GGGUGGAAUGCAAUCUGAUGCAUGGCAGUGGAAGUAAAAAGGUACCUGAGUGGCAGAAGCCUGAGUUUGAGGCUGCCGCACGACAGCGAUCCCGGACGCCAAUGCUUCACCUGGAAUCACUGAAGUUGCAUCAUCUGCUGCUGAGUAAGCCACCUUCAGGUGUGCUCCUGCACUGGGCAAAGAAGCAACCCUGGAGUCUGUUUGGACUUGAAAAUGUUGGCCGUCCAGCGAAGCGUAAUCGUUCCCCUCCUGAUUGUAAGUUACUGCCGCUCCCUGCUGAUACAUCUCACCAUAUUCUGGGCCCCCACCUGAACCAUUUUGUGCAUUCUGAGGAUGAAAAACACCCAAGCACAGAAAUGGGACGACAAUAUGAAAAAAAAAAUAGGCUGUCUCGCUGUAGUACAUUAGUAUUAGUAUUUAAACAGAGUAAGUGUGCAUAUUAAGGAUUUGCAGGCUAUAUAACACACAUGCCAAACCAGAGGAUUUGUAUGUUCCCAGACAGGUGCUUGAAGAAUGUCAUUUUCAGACAA
This is a long non-coding RNA of Hippocampus zosterae (dwarf seahorse), 530 nucleotides long. RefSeq lists it as uncharacterized. The transcript has 2 exons. Lineage: Eukaryota; Metazoa; Chordata; Actinopteri; Syngnathiformes; Syngnathidae. The record is from RefSeq and is a predicted model, not a curated record.